This 1810-nucleotide long non-coding RNA is filed under the name Gossypium raimondii (Peruvian cotton). RNAcentral describes it as "long non-coding RNA (GRAI_LNC006890)". The record is from RNAcentral. Lineage: Eukaryota; Viridiplantae; Streptophyta; Magnoliopsida; Malvales; Malvaceae.
AAAAUGAUAAUUUAUUUUAAACAAUAAGUGUAAAUGUAACAACCCUUUACCCGAUCUAAUCAUACAGCUCCGGUAUAAGACUAUUACAUUUGGUGCCAAAACGAUUAUGGCUAGAUAUUAUUUAAAUAGAAUAUUUAUACAUAGCAUUAUAACUUACCAACCAUAUUUGCAAACAUACAUAUAGUUUUACUAAUUCAUUUCAUAUAUAUAUAUACCAAAAUACGUAAAAUACCUAAAAAUAGAUAGAAGUCCAAGAGUUUACAUUUUAAUUCCUAACACAUGGAAGCAUAACUGACUGUCUAUGUACAUGCCAUUUUAAUUCAAAAUAUGGUACCUACUUCUGAAGCUCUUGAAGAUGUGAUGAGAUGAGAGAUCUUCUAUCCUGACUUUACCUCUCCGAGUCAAACUGUACCUACGCGUUAAAAUUAAACGCGUUAAGCCGGUGAAGGCUUAGUAAGCGCUACAAGAAUAAACAAAUAAAUAAAUCUAAACAAAAUAUGUCAAACUCAUUCUGUUAUUACGUAUUUAUGUACGUAUAAGCUUCAUAAAACUUACCUUAGCAUUUUAAUGAUUCGCUUUUCCACAAAUCAUAAUCUUAGCCCAAAGUAGAUUUUAUAGAACACACCGGAUAUACGGAACAAAUACAGAGGUGCAUUGGUAUGCACUAAUGAACAGAGAGCACUAAAGUGCUAUACAGAGAGCACAGAUGUGCUAAACAGAGAACACUGACGUGCUAAAAUCAGAGAGCACCAACGUGCUAAUAAUCAGAGAGCGCGCUAAAGUUCCUUAAUGGCAUGCCACUAAUAUCCUGAUAGUUCUAAAUUCCAUCUACUUGGGCAUUAAAAUUGAAUCUCAUUCAAUUAAAUACUUUAUAGAAUUAUUUCGAAAAAGAUUUCUCAUUUCUCCAUCAUUAUAAUUUAGUGCACAUUUCACAAUUCACAAUUAUCACACCAUUUUCACAUAUAUACACUUUUGUCACAAUAUUUACUUAAUGUUCAAUCAAUAUACCACUACAUACUUUCCAUCUAUAAUUUUCUUUACAAAUUUCAUAGUUCCAUAAUCUUUUAUUUUACUUUAUUUUAUUUUAUUUCUAAAUAAUUCUAUACUAUAAUAUAAGCAUUUAAAUAAAAUAAUUUAAAAAAAUAAGCUUGUAGUACUUACAACAAAAAGGUUGAGAUGAUAUCUUCCUUCACUCCUUAGCCUUCUCUUUUCAUUUUUCUUCAAUUUCAUAUAAAACACAUAACAUUUAUAUAUUAGAAAAACAAUCAAAUAACUUUCCUAUAUGAUUUAAUAAGAAUAAACAUAUAUGAUAUAAUAAUUUCAUAAUUUCUUACCUUAGCUAAUAUUUCAAUUUAAUUCAUAACUAAAAUUAUUUCUAUUUCUAUCACAAUCUAUACAUUAUUUUUACUUAAAUUCUACUUACAACUUGACUUAACUCUCAAAUUUUCACUAAUAAACCUUAAUUUCGAAUUUCUUAUAAUUUUACAUUAAACUUAUAACUUAUUUCUCAAUUUAAUCUUUUUCCCAAUCCUAGUUUGAAUUUCCAUCAACUCAACCUCUAAUUCAUCCACUAAUUCAAUAUAAACUACAUAAAAAAAAUUCUACUAACUUUCAAAAUUUCAAUAUAUACUUGCUAGUAUUUUGAUCUAGAAUCAUAAAAACUCAAAGAUUUCAAGAAAAGGACUUAAUUUGACUUACCAAUUUGAAAUUGAACCUUAAAAUCCCUAAUUUUCUUCUUUACUUUUUCUUUCUUUCUUUCUCCCCUGUUUCUCCCCUGUUCCGUUUCGAAUUGUAUUCUGUUUCUUUCUUU